Bombus huntii is the source of this 450-nucleotide long non-coding RNA. RefSeq lists it as uncharacterized. Lineage: Eukaryota; Metazoa; Arthropoda; Insecta; Hymenoptera; Apidae. The transcript is spliced from 3 exons. The record is from RefSeq and is a predicted model, not a curated record.
CAUACGAAGAGUGCAGAUGGAUCAAUACGGUCGACAGAAGUUUUAACUAUCUGGAGUGCGGAUAAAUUUUUACUGAGAGUCGUAUAGGAAUCUAUAAUCUAGUACUUUCCAAAAUACGCCGAGAGUAUUCCUGAUGGUGAAACGAGCGUUGCUUCAUCGAACACAGCUAAAGAAAACAACAUCUAUGUAGUUGGUGGUACGAUGCCUGAAAUAGAGGGCGCUAAAUUGUACAAUACCUGUACUAUUUGGGGUCCCGAUGGAACUUUGAUAGCAAAACACCGAAAGGUACAUCUAUUCGACAUCGACAUUCCUAAUAAGAUUACUUUUCGAGAGAGUGAUUCACUCAGUCCUGGUAACUCCCUAACGACGUUCGAUGUGAAGGGCUGCAAAAUAGGUAUUGGCAUUUGCUAUGAUAUUAGAUUCGAGGAAAUGGCACGCAUUUAUCGGAAC